Molecule: transfer RNA, 72 nt
Filed under: Camelus bactrianus (Bactrian camel)
Lineage: Eukaryota; Metazoa; Chordata; Mammalia; Artiodactyla; Camelidae
Also listed under: 2 other names
Rfam family: tRNA
About the family: Transfer RNA (tRNA) molecules are approximately 80 nucleotides in length. Their secondary structure includes four short double-helical elements and three loops (D, anti-codon, and T loops). Further hydrogen bonds mediate the characteristic L-shaped molecular structure. tRNAs have two regions of fundamental functional importance: the anti-codon, which is responsible for specific mRNA codon recognition, and the 3' end, to which the tRNAs corresponding amino acid is attached (by aminoacyl-tRNA synthetases). tRNAs cope with the degeneracy of the genetic code in two manners: having more than one tRNA (with a specific anti-codon) for a particular amino acid; and 'wobble' base-pairing, i.e. permitting non-standard base-pairing at the 3rd anti-codon position.
Source: Rfam by way of RNAcentral
GAGGAUAUAGCUCAGUGGUAGAGCACAUGUCUAGCACGCAUGAGGUCCUGGGUUCAAUCCCCAGUACCUCCA